This 238-nucleotide ribosomal RNA is filed under the name uncultured bacterium. RNAcentral describes it as "partial 16S ribosomal RNA". It matches the Rfam family "Bacterial small subunit ribosomal RNA", at positions 94 to 334 of the family's 1533-position model. The record is from RNAcentral.
AGUGGCGGACGGGUGAGUAACACGUGGGAACGUGCCUUUUGGUUCGGAAUAAUCCGGGGAAAACCUGGCCUAAUACCGAAUGUGCCCCCUCCUUUAAUCAGGGGGUGGGAAAGAUUUAUCGCCAUUAGAGCGGCCCGCGUCUGAUUAGCUAGUUGGUGAGGUAACGGCCCACCAAGGCGACGAUCAGUAGCUGGUCUGAGAGGAUGAUCAGCCACACUGGGACUGAGACACGGCCCAG